UACGUAGGGGGCAAGCGUUGUCCGGAUUUACUGGGCGUAAAGAGCGUGUAGGCGGCCAGGCAGGUCUGUUGUGAAAACUGGAGGCUCAACUUCCAGACGUCGACAGAAACCGCUUGGCUAGAGUCCGGAAGAGGAGAGUGGAAUUCCUGGUGUAGCGGUGAAAUGCGCAGAUAUCAGGAAGAACACCGAUGGCGAAGGCGGCAUCCUGGACCGGCAUUGACGCUGAGGAGCGAAAGCCAGGGGAGCAAACGGG
Molecule: ribosomal RNA, 253 nt
Filed under: uncultured bacterium
Lineage: Bacteria
Description: partial 16S ribosomal RNA
Rfam family: Bacterial small subunit ribosomal RNA
Source: RNAcentral